RNAcentral lists this ribosomal RNA (253 nucleotides) under uncultured bacterium. RNAcentral's name for it is "partial 16S ribosomal RNA". It matches the Rfam family "Bacterial small subunit ribosomal RNA", at positions 524 to 776 of the family's 1533-position model. The record is from RNAcentral.
UACAGAGGUGGCAAGCGUUGUUCGGAAUUACUGGGCGUAAAGGGCGCGUAGGCGGCCUUCUAAGUCAGACGUGAAAUCCCCCGGCUUAACCUGGGAACUGCGUCUGAUACUGGAGGGCUUGAGUGCGGGAGAGGGAUGUGGAAUUCCAGGUGUAGCGGUGAAAUGCGUAGAUAUCGAGAGGAACACCUGCGGCGAAGGCGGGUUGCUGGGCCGACACUGACGCUGAUGCGCGAAAGCCAGGGGAGCGAACGGG